UGGGAGCAUCUAUAGCAAGUGCUUGCACAGCAGUGGCUCUCAACCUUUCCAAACUACUGUACCCCUUUCAGGAGUCUGGUUUCUCUUGUGUACCCCCAA
Non-coding RNA from Chelonoidis abingdonii (Abingdon island giant tortoise), 99 nucleotides. Lineage: Eukaryota; Metazoa; Chordata; Testudines; Testudinidae. The record is from RefSeq and is a predicted model, not a curated record.